UACCCUUGAGACAAUCUGUUCACGUUCCUAGGGUUCUUUCGAGCACGGGAGCGUCUCAUUCCCGUCAGUCUCCGUUUCUGAUCUGCCCUCGGAAUUAGGGCUCACUGACAUCAUGGACGCCCAGAGAGCUCUCCUGGACGAACUCAUGGGGACAGCUCGUAAUCUGACGGACGAGCAGAAAAAGAAGUACAAGGAGGUGCACUGGGACGAUAAGGAGGUGUGCGGCUGCUACAUGGUUCGUUUCUGUCCGCACGAUCUGUUCGUGAACACGAAAAGCGACCUUGGAGCUUGUCCUAGAAUCCAUGACCAGAAACUGAAGGAGAGCUUUGAGAAGUCCCCUAGACAUGAUGCUCAUGUUCCAAAGUUUGAAGCAGACCUUGCAAAAUUCUGUGAGAAGCUGGUGACAGAUUUAGAUAGAAAAGUCAAGCGUGGUCGUGACCGAUUAGAACAAGAGGUAGAGGCAACACCUCCUCCGGUCCCUAAUGAAAAACCUGAACACCUCUCAGUGUUAGAAGAAAAGAUCAAAAAGCUUCUAGAGCAAAUUGAGACGCUUGGUGAAGCAGGAAAGAUAGAUGAAGCUGAGGCACUUAUGAGAAUGGUUGAUAUGCUUAAUGCUGAGAAGGCAACUUUGUCUCAACAAUCAGCAACUGAUAAGGUUAUUCUUCCACAAGAGAAGAAAAUGGCACUAUGUGAGAUUUGUGGCUCAUUUUUGGUAGCAAAUGAUGCUGCUGAGAGGACACAAACUCAUGUUACCGGAAAGCAACAUAUUGGUUAUGGUAUGAUCCGAGAUUUUCUUAGUGAGUUCAAGGCUGCUAAGGAGAAGGCAAGGGAAGAAGAGAAACUAGCUAGGGAGAAAGAAGCAGAGGAACGAAGGAAACAGCAUGAAAAGGAUCUCAGGAUUCGUGUUAGGGAGAGUGAUGUGGGUAGAAGAGAAAGGUCCAGAGAGCGUGACCAUGAACGUGAUCGACAUGGUGACCGGAACUAUGAGCGAGAAAGAUCAAGCAGGGUAGGAGGGGCAAGCCAUAAGCAUGACUAUCACAGAAAUGGGAGAGAAUCUAACAGAGUUAGGUAUCAUAACAGAUCUGGAGCACGAAGCAGGUCCAGGUCUCCUUCCAGGCAUGGCUAUAGAAGGUCGAGUCCAGUUUGACAAUGCUAGCUAUUAGUAUUAAUAGUCUGUCAAGUACUGAGAACAAAGAGCUCUGUUGAAGUCAAUGUGGUAUUCAAGUUAAAAGAAAAACAUUGAGAUUUUGAAACAUGACGUGGUGUGGCGUUGAAGAUGAUGAUUAUUAAUCAACUUAUGCAAGGUAAUACCAGUUAUACCUACUUUUUAAGUGUAAUCGAGCCUCUACAAAAUCUCAAUUGAUUAACUUAUUUGAUCAGUCCCCAAGUCAUUGCUACCAUCUACCAACUUGCUCAGAUUAUCAAAAAUUGGAAAUGCUAAAAUCUACUAAUCCCACAAAAUCUUUAGACUACAUAUGCAAGGAAAAUGUGAAUGUUUGAUCCCUAGUGUGUCAUUUAUUUGUUAAUUUAGUUGUUAAAUUCCAAAUUUUUUGACGUAGUUUCCUUUUGUUUUAGUCUGACCAACAUACAAAAAAAAACAUCACUCCAGUUAUGCUGAAUGACAGAUUUCGAUCUUGGAACUUUUGUCUCCUUUUUUUUUUACCCAAAAAAAAACACAAUUGCAUUUGUACAAUAGUUGUGAAUGGAUACUCAUUCAAAUGCUUUAAGUGAAUUUUCUCUUUUGUCUCCCUUGUUUCCAGGAUAUGGGGUUUGUAAUGCUAUGGAAAUUGUCCAUUUUGUUCACGGGUUACUUGUCUUUGCAUUUGCUUGUUGAAAUAGUGGAAAGUAGGGAGUUUGGACAGCAAUUAUUGACAAAGUGAAAUGUCUAAGAUAACCUUUACUUGCCAUAAUCUAUGGCUUAUUUAUUUGCAUGGAUGAAUGGAAGGGAAAAGUAUGCAGACGGAGGAUAUAUAUAUUUUUUUUCAUGCAUUUUGCCGGUUUCUAUCUCUGUACCUUUCCCUUUCUUUCUUCUUUACUAUUCACCAGCCAUUCCAAGUUCUUAGAAAAAUUCUCUAAGGUCACGACUCACAUAGCUGAUGUUUCAAUUGAGUGUUACAGUUUUUUAGGAAGGUAAAAAUUCACCAAAUGCCAUUUAAUGACUUGUAUGUUUCGUUGCUACAGGAGAUAUUGAUUAGUGUCAAUAUCUUCUAGAAUUGCCCUCUAUCUUUCUGUGAGAAGUCAUCUACAGCAAAUGCUUGCUUUAUUUUUCAUCUUGUUAUUCAGUCUUUUUUUUUUUUUUUGUAGGUUUGUCAUUCGUUUUUGCAUAUAUUGUUAGUUGCACGGUAACUGAAUUCUGCUGUAAAGAUGUCGUCGUGAUCCAAAAUGAUAUAUUGCUGAAAUUGUAGUCCCUCUUAUUAGUUUAGAAUGCCACCUUUUUUUAGAAGUUGACUUGUAGAACUAUUAUUACAUUCUUGAAUCUAUGGGACUUUUAUCAGUCGAGCCAGUACUGGAGCAUCGUUACCACCUUGUAUCUGUUCGACUUAAGCAACUCAUACAAGUACCGGAGCAUUGAGGUAACACCCUAGACUUGUUUUCACUUAAAUGGUUGAUGAAAAUUUGCGCCGUAGCUUCAGGUUAUGGAAAAUUAGGGAAGAAAUGCCAGAUGAUGAUGUUGCUUGAACCUAUAGACCGACCAUUCACACUUUGCAGCUCAAACAAAUAGUAGGAAUCAUAGGGCUCCGUGGAAGAGUAAAAUCUAUAUAUAAUUGAUGAUGAGGAAAAAAGUGUUGGAUGAUGUUUCUUUCAUCUGUACAGAUCUUCACCUGCUCAAACUAGAAGUGGAGCAUGGUUGAAUGGUUAAUGAUUCUUUUUUUUUUUUUUGUAAUGCUAAAAUUUAAAUCAUCAAAGUUUAGUUCGCGUUGAAGAGGA
Molecule: RNA transcript, 2928 nt
Organism: Zingiber officinale
Lineage: Eukaryota; Viridiplantae; Streptophyta; Magnoliopsida; Zingiberales; Zingiberaceae
Gene name: luc7-like protein 3
Exons: 10
Source: RefSeq, a predicted model, not a curated record